RNAcentral lists this ribosomal RNA (287 nucleotides) under Heyndrickxia coagulans. Its description in RNAcentral is "partial 16S ribosomal RNA". It matches the Rfam family "Bacterial small subunit ribosomal RNA", at positions 1 to 276 of the family's 1533-position model. Lineage: Bacteria; Bacillati; Bacillota; Bacilli; Caryophanales; Bacillaceae. The record is from RNAcentral.
UUUACUGAGAGUUUGAUCCUGGCUCAGGACGAACGCUGGCGGCGUGCCUAAUACAUGCAAGUCGUGCGGACUUUUUAAAAGCUUGCUUUUAAAAGGUUAGCGGCGGACGGGUGAGUAACACGUGGGCAACCUGCCUGUAAGAUCGGGAUAACGCCGGGAAACCGGGGCUAAUACCGGAUAUUUUUUUCCUCCGCAUGGAGGAAAAAGGAAAGACGGCUUCGGCUGUCACUUACAGAUGGGCCCGCGGCGCAUUAGCUAGUUGGUGGGGUAACGGCUCACCAAGGCAA